RNAcentral lists this ribosomal RNA (595 nucleotides) under uncultured bacterium. RNAcentral's name for it is "bacterial SSU rRNA". It matches the Rfam family "Bacterial small subunit ribosomal RNA", at positions 338 to 944 of the family's 1533-position model. The record is from RNAcentral.
CCUACGGGAGGCAGCAGUGGGGAAUAUUGCACAAUGGGCGCAAGCCUGAUGCAGCGACGCCGCGUGAGGGAUGACGGCCUUCGGGUUGUAAACCUCUUUCAGCAGGGACGAAGCGCAAGUGACGGUACCUGCAGAAGAAGCACCGGCCAACUACGUGCCAGCAGCCGCGGUAAUACGUAGGGUGCAAGCGUUGUCCGGAAUUACUGGGCGUAAAGAGCUCGUAGGCGGUUUGUCGCGUCGUCUGUGAAAACCAGCAGCUCAACUGUUGGCUUGCAGGCGAUACGGGCAGACUUGAGUAUUUCAGGGGAGACUGGAAUUCCUGGUGUAGCGGUGAAAUGCGCAGAUAUCAGGAGGAACACCGGUGGCGAAGGCGGGUCUCUGGGAAAUAACUGACGCUGAGGAGCGAAAGCGUGGGUAGCGAACAGGAUUAGAUACCCUGGUAGUCCACGCCGUAAACGGUGGCGCUAGGUGUGGGUUUCCUUCCACGGGAUCCGUGCCGUAGCUAACGCAUUAAGCGCCCCGCCNGGGGAUACGGCCGCAAGGCUAAAACGUCAAAGGAUUGACGGCUGAGACGNGCGAGCGACGACGAGGAGAG